This 331-nucleotide small nuclear RNA is filed under the name Panthera tigris altaica (Amur tiger). RNAcentral describes it as "7SK RNA (ENSPTIG00000004622.1)". It matches the Rfam family "7SK RNA". Rfam says of the family: 7SK was discovered as an abundant small nuclear RNA in the mid-70s but a possible function has only recently been suggested. Two independent studies have found that 7SK RNA binds the CDK9/cyclin T complex (known as elongation factor P-TEFb). The record is from Rfam by way of RNAcentral. Lineage: Eukaryota; Metazoa; Chordata; Mammalia; Carnivora; Felidae.
GGAUGUGAGGGCGAUCUGGCUGCGACAUCUGUCACCCCAUUGAUCGCCAGGGUUGAUUCGGCUGAUCUGGCUGGCUAGGCGGGUGUCUCCUUCCUCCCUCACCGCUCCAUGUGCGUCCCUCCCGAAGCUGCGCGCUCGGUCGAAGAGGACGACCUUCCCCGAUAGAGGAGGACCGUUCUUCGGUCAAGGGUAUACGAGUAGCUGCGCUCCCGUGCUAGAACCUCCAAACAAGCUCUCAAGGUCCAUUUGUAGGAGAACGUAGGGUAGUCAAGCUUCCAAGACUCCAGACACAUCCAAAUGAGGCGCUGCACGUGGCAGUCUGCCUUUCUUU